UGUGUGAUAGAUGGCCACUCCGGCUCUGACAGAUGCUGCAGAAUCACUCAGCCACGCCGGCCCGGCUGGUUAUCGGGGGCAACCCUGUAAAUCUGACAUUAUAGGCUGUUGACAGGAGAAACGGUUGUUAUCAUAACCCACGUAGUAAUGGACUGUGCUGUGGGAGCAGCAGGAAUGGCCAUUACCAUCCACGGAUCACUGGCAGAGUGGACACAGAUGAGAGAGAGAGAGACAGAAAGGGUGGAAGGAGGUGGAGGUCAAAAAGAGCCGCCAGUGCAGCCAUAUCUAUCAGGGCAACUUCAACACCAUCACAUUGUGUCUAAUAAACCUUUUGGUAACCAUA
This is a non-coding RNA of Poecilia reticulata (guppy), 343 nucleotides long. Lineage: Eukaryota; Metazoa; Chordata; Actinopteri; Cyprinodontiformes; Poeciliidae. The record is from RefSeq and is a predicted model, not a curated record.